Molecule: ribosomal RNA, 332 nt
Filed under: uncultured Bacillota bacterium
Lineage: Bacteria; Bacillati; Bacillota
Description: bacterial SSU rRNA
Rfam family: Bacterial small subunit ribosomal RNA
Source: RNAcentral
GACGAACGCUGGCGGCGUGCCUAACACAUGCAAGUCGAGCGGAGAUAGUUUGAUGGUAACUGAUAGCUAUUUUAGCGGCGGACGGGUGAGUAACACGUGGGCAACCUGCCUCAAAGAGGGGGAUAACACCGAGAAAUCGGUGCUAAUACCGCAUAACAUACAUUGACUGCAUGGUCGAUGUAUCAAAGGAGUAAUCCGCUUUGAGAUGGGCCCGCGGCUGAUUAGCUAGUUGGUGAGGUAAUGGCUCACCAAGGCAACGAUCAGUAGCCGACCUGAGAGGGUGACCGGCCACACUGGAACUGAGACACGGUCCAGACUCCUACGGGAGGCUG